This 17211-nucleotide long non-coding RNA is filed under the name Fragaria vesca (wild strawberry). RNAcentral's name for it is "long non-coding RNA (FVES_LNC000023)". The record is from RNAcentral. Lineage: Eukaryota; Viridiplantae; Streptophyta; Magnoliopsida; Rosales; Rosaceae.
CAACAUGGAAUUCCAAAUUUUCUUUAGUUUGCUCUAUAUAUGCAAAUCUCUGAAUAAAGCACACUUUUUUUUUAUUCCAAAUUAUCUCAUGCAUUACAAUUUUACAUCAUUGUCCUUAUGUCACCUGGCCUCCAAACCUGGAAUUAAAAAUCUCUCAUCCACAUGACCCAAAGAAGCGAAUUUACAGAAAAAAUGAUAAAUAAAAGGGAUCUGCUAGAAGACACCUGGCCGGGGUUGAAGGAUUGGACAUAAGAGGGCCUGUCGUGCUUGGUCAUAUGGCCGCGUAAGUAAGGAUCGCAGGACAAGUAUAGGUUCUUGACGACAAGGCCAGUCGACCCUUGUGGAAGCUUGAGUUUGGCUGUGGACGUCCUCAAUUCCAUGUCGGAUUCUUUGGGGAACCCGGUCACAUAGUCUUUGAAUAUCACCUGCUUGUUGCUCAUCUCGCUCGCCAUUCGUACUUGCUUGCUGUUGAGAUCAAACUGCUCAAUGCUCUGGUCGUCCUUUCGAUGAGUGAUCAGCUAUUAUUUAUACACACAGAUAUGGACAAACGACAGGAAUGUCCAUUCCGGACAAGCAGAGAAGCCAAGUCCAUUCCGGACACACCAUUCCAGUUAUGGGUUCACAUUUCACCCGACGACGAAGUUGGUGCUUAUGUCAUCCACCUCUACUUACUUACGAGGCCCGAUCCAACGUAACCCUACCCUACCAAACUGUAUCUGAUGCAUUCACCAGCCAACUUACACAUGCCCAAUAUGCCCCAACAACAAAAACAAAAAGAACUUUGCAGCAGAACACAAGAGUUUGAUUCCCUUGUCUUCUGUUCUAUCAAUCUCCUGGUAUUAGUGGUAUUCUUUAUUUUCUUUUCAGCAACUACUGUAGGUUGCAUUAUGCGUUAUUCUUUUGGAAGUUUUUUAAUUGUUUUAAUUUUAUGUCUUAUAUUUUUCAUUUAACUAGAUCUACGUCCACCUACAAAAGUCGUCUUAUACAUACAAGAAUGUUGUCAUUUCAAAAAGUGCAUUCAUAUCUUCUUCUCAAUAUUAGAUCACACGCUGCCUUUCUCUUCAUACUUGAUAAUAGUAUAAAACAUGCUACAUUUAUUAGUGAUAAAGUAAUUUGGGAUUCACAUCCAAAACCAAUUGGUAAUGGGUGGAGUGGCCCAAACCCUUAUUAACCCACAUGCAAGGUCUCAUAUUCCCGAUGUGAGAUAUAUAUCUUAACACGCCCCCGCACGUGUGACGAAUCUUCUCAACACGUCUCCGCACGUGUGUCAAAUCUUCAACCCUAACACGUAGACAACAUUUGAGUGACGUGGAGUUCGUGUGGCCAUUGGGCUUCACACGUGGACGUGGGUAACCCGCUCUGAUACCAUGAUAAAAUAGUCUGGGGUUCACAUCCAAAACCAAUUGGUAAUGGGUAGAGUGGCCCAAACCCUUAUUAACCCACAUGCAAGGUCAUAUAUUCCCGAUGUGAGAUAUAUAUCUCAACAAUUAGGAUCAGACAGUUCUCCUCGACAUAAAAUGCAAUAUCCAAAGCAAGCUAACCAUAUACCUGAUACAAAGUUCAUUACAUAUACCAAGGUGCACUGCAGAUGGGCUUAAACAACUUAACAUAAAAACAAAUGACUCGGACUUCAGAAGUACAGAUGGAGCCGGAUUAGUAAUCACUCCCUGGAAACUACAACAACCUGCUUUCCCACGUUGCGGCCAGCAAAGAGCCCAAUCAGAGCUGCAGGAGCGUUCUCAAGGCCUUCAACUACAUCUUCCACAUAUGUAAUCUUCCCUUCUUUUAUGGCAGGCAACACUGUUUCAAGAAACUUUCCAUACAGAUGACAGUAACUGCUCACCAGGAAACCUUCCAUGCGGACCUGCUUAACAAUCAGAGACAUCAAAUUAUGUAUGCCUUCAGGCUUCUCCAAGUUGUACUGAGAUAUCAUCCCACACACUGCUAUUCGCCCUUUCAGCCUCAUGUUUGGUAGCACUGCAUCAAGCAUCUUUCCCCCCACAUUCUCAAAGUAAAUGUCAAUACCAUCAGGAAAAUACCUGCAGGUUAGCCAAAAACAACUUUAAACAAGAUGUAUAUUCCCAAAAUGAGGUACACAUGCGCAGCAUGAGACCAGACACUUUGUUUUCCCCUUGUGUUUCUAGAUUGAAUUCAGACUCUUAUUAAUGCCUGUGGAGGGUUUGUACCUCCAAAUCCAAUAUUGGAAAAACGAACCAGUCUAGUGUCACUGUAAUUAGAAUAAACAAAGAUCCUAGACUAAGUCAAAGCAUUAAGCAUAUUUUGGAUUCCGACUGCUAAGAGAUAUAUUACAUUCUCACCUUCUUAAAGCUGCAUCCAGGUCAGGUUCGUCUUUAUAGUUGAAAGCCUCAUCAAAUCCGAAUUUGUUCUUCAGCAGAUCAACCUGAGAUCCCAUGUUAACACAGUAGAUAAAAGGGUACGAAGUAUUCUGAAUAUCAGGAUAUUCAGAUAUACAAUGAAUACAGGUCAUCAGGUUCACAGUCUAUGUAGUAUAUUACAGUAUUAGAGGCAUAUCAGAUGAGGCGAAAAAACAGUAGAACUGCUUUAGAUUGAGUGCAGCAGCUACAAGAAUAAGACUAAAUUGAUAACACUUCUAUUUGUAUGUAGGUAAUUGAUCACCAUAAUAGUACUUCCCAAUAAUGUCUCCAUCUUUGAAUUCCAAGAAUUUGGUACACAUCACUAUAGACAUACACAUUUAACAUCACUAUAGACAUACACAUUUAACAUAAAAAUAGUCAUACAAUUGAGUCAAAGAUAUGGAAUCCCAACUAAAACAUUCACUGAUCUACGAGUACCAGUAACUAACCUUUUUCUUGCUUCCAGCACUCCCAACAACAUAGCAACCUGUCAACUUUGCAAAUUGGCCAACAAGCUGACCUACUGCUCCAGAUGCGGCUGAAAUGUAGAUAGUCUCUCCUUUCUUAGGAGAGCAAAACUCAAAAAACCCAGCAUAAGCAGUCAAUCCAGCCAUACCUACGUAACAUAUGAAUACGUCAGAUGAGCCCAAACAACCAAUAGACUCCAACAAGAGAUCUCAUGAGGGAACAAUAAACAAUAUGCACAAAAAAAUAUUGACACAAGCUGUCAACUUGUGACUAUAGCAUGAAACUUUUAUGUUCUCUGCUCGUGCAUGAAAAGUAGCUAAUACAAUCAGCUGCACAAAAAACUAUUGCCCCAACUUAACUCAAGGGGUUAGGUGUUGAGAUUGGUGUUCAUUCUCAUGCAACUAGAAACCAUGCAAAAGGUGAUGCAACAAAUAUUGACUUGGUGAAUAGCUAGCUAUGAUAUAUAGCUAUACAAAGCUUUAAAUGAUGUUUGUAGAAAUUGAAGGUGAAGAGUUAGUCUUCAAUGGUGUGCUCCUGCUUUUGUAAUAGGAGGGAAGAAAAAGGCUUUGCCUUUUUCACAUGAAUGGAUGUUGCCUAUAAAUUGGCUGCAUGGAAACCAUUUGAAGCAUGCAAGCAAGUCUGCAUCAAGUAAGCAUCAGACAAGCAAUAGAGAGCUUGUGGGUUGUGCAUGAGAGUGAGAGAGAAAAAAGUGCUACGAGGGAAAUUCUCUUAGGUGAGAUAUAGUGUUCUUGGGUAUUCUAUGAGUGAGGGUGUACAAGGGUUUGGGAUUUGGGUCAUGAGAUUUAACUCAUGUAUCUUGUACUAGUUUUUUUCUCAUAGUGGAAGAGUUAUAUCUUGGGGUGGACGUAGGCAGGAAAUUUGCCGAACCACGUUAAAUCUCGUGUCAACUGUUUUUCAUUCUUGUUUGUUAUUCUACUUUAUUGCAGUGUUGUUGGGUGUGUCUGUUUCUGAAUCUCAACAUUAGGCCCUCAAGAGCUGCAAGGUAACUAAUUGUGGGGUUUGUGGCUAAUCAAAUUAGCACAUUAGACUAAAGACUUGGGAGGUCUAUAAGUAACACAAACCAGUUUGUUAGUUACAAAAAAGUAGAAAGCAAGAGAAGUAGGCAAUACCGAGAAGUCCAGUAUAGUAAGAGAGAGGCACAUCAGUGUGGUGAAUUUUAAACAGAGACUCUGUGGCAGUGAUGACACUAUAUUCUUCCCAGCCAGUAGGACCCCAAACCAAGUCGCCUGGCUUAAACUUUGGAUCCCCAGAUUCCAGGACUUUAGCGACUCCAUAACCAGUUACAGUCUGCAACAUUCCAAAUUUUCUUAAAUUAGCUCUAUAUAUGCAAAUCUCUGAAUAAAGCACACACAUUUUUUGUUAUUCCAAAUUAUCUCAUGCAUUACAAUUUUAUAUCAUUGUCCUUAUAUCACCUGGCCCCCAAACCUGGAAUUAAAAAUCUCUCAUCCACAUGACCCAAAGAAGCGAAUUUACAGAAAAAAUGAUAAAUAAAAGGGAUCUGCUAGAAGACACCUGGCCGGGGUUGAAGGAUUGGACAUAAGAGGGCCUGUCGUGCUUGGUCAUAUGGCCGCGUAAGUAAGGAUCGCAGGACAAGUAUAGGUUCUUGACGACAAGGCCAGUCGACCCUUGUGGAAGCUUGAGUUUGGCUGUGGACGUCCUCAAUUCCAUGUCGGAUUCUUUGGGGAACCCGGUCACAUAGUCUUUGAAUAUCACCUGCUUGUUACUCACUUCCACUCCGUCACUCGCCAUUUUCAGCUUCUCUCUCCUCUCUGUGUCUCUCUACAACCGUAACUGAAGAAGAUGAGGGCGAUACGAGCAAUAUAUGCCAGGAAAUAUAGUAAUCACUGUAAUUUCUUACCUUACUAUGAUGUCACAGCCCAGCUCUCUCUGGAAUUUUCUGUUUAGAAUCAAAACAAAUUUCUUGGACAAUAAAUUUCACAUUUUUGUCACGUUUGGUUUCUUCAAUGCCGCUGACAGCAUUGGCGGAGCCAAUGAAGGACCGGUGAGGGCCUGUGCACAAGGACCGGUGAGGGCCUGUGCGCCUAGAGAAAUAUUGAAUUUCAUUGGUUAAUCUUCUUUGUGCCUCUGGAUAAAUAUUGAAUUUCAUUGGCUAAUCUUCUUUGUGCCCCCACAACAAUUCAUCUUCUUCUACUUCGAUUGGGAUUAUGCCUAGUUUCUCUUCUAUAGUUCUAUUUCUUGUAUUUGGGCUUUAGCUUUUUAGACUGGGUUUUUGGAAUGUGUCUCUUAAUUUCCACAAAAAAGCUAGACUAAGACAAAAGUCAUUAUUAAUUUGAAUUAAUGGGAUAUUUUUAACCUGAAGAAUGAACACUGUGGUCAUGGUAUGUAUGAACGUUAAGUUUUGGUUGGGAGCUGUGUAGAUUAUGUAGACAAAUUCUGGGUUUGCAAACUUCAAUUUUUGUACACACAAGUUACAGAGAGGAUUCAAAGCACCAAGGUGCACUUAAACCAAGAUGAAUAGACCGUUGGAUUACAUUUAUCUUAUUAUUUAAUAUUUAAAUAAAAAGUUAAGUAGAAAUAUCAACGGUUAAGAUUUUCUAAUAAAUACUUGGUUCACUUGUACCUUGGUAUAUGCAAGAAUUUUCGCACAAGUUAGCCACAGGUAAUGCUUAUAGUUGUGCGUAUAUAUAUAUAUAUAUUAGUAUAAUUUAGCGGUAAGAAAUUUUUGUGCCCCCAUUGAUAUAUUUUUCUGGCUCCGUCACUGGUUGACAGUACGACGUCCCUGCUUACGUCAACAGUUCAUUGCUGUCCUCUUGCACUAUGUUGUUACCAUUUCUGGGGUACAAGUUUCAUUUUUUUACUUGUAAAUUGCAAUUCAAUACAAACACAAGGAUGGUUUGGAGGACAGGUUGGUUUGGAGGACAGCAAAGGAUGGAACUCAAUAGUUUUGUGGAAAUACAUGCAUGGAAAACUACAACCUGAUGAUAUUCGACAACCUCGUGGCUACCAUUUGUCUUCAAUCUGCUUCCUCUGUCAUAAUAAUGUUGAGACUGCAGAGCACCUCUUCUUGCAUUGUUAUUUUGCAACUAAUAUCUGGGAAAAUCUUUUGGAUUUGUUUCAGGUUCGGGGUAUUUUCAAUGAUAUUAUUUCUUUCUUUACCUACCCUAUAUGUCAUGUUUAUAGCUCUCAGUUAACUCUGCUAUGGUGGGGAAUGAUUGGUGCUGGUUUUUAUGCUAUUUGACAUGUAAGGAAUGCUCUUCGUUUUCAAGAGUCAAUCAUAUUUUCAGGUUCCUUACUCCAUUCUAUUAAGAUGCAACUUCAUGAGAUUAAUCUUUUGAGUAAGGGCACAAUGAAGAAUACUGUAGACGAGCUUUGCAUUUUGCAUUGCAUUGGUAUUAGGGGCAGGCCAUCUAAAGCGCCAAAAAUUGUUGAAGUUAUGUGGCAUGUUCCCUUUAUUUAUUAAGUCAAGCUCAACACUGAUGGUGCGGCUCGUUGCUCUCCUGGUGUGGCAUUUUUCGAGAUCAUUUGGGUCGGGUUUUAGGUUGUUUUUCAAGAAAUCUUGGUUUUGCUACUGUAUUAGAAGCCGAGCUGCAAGCUGUCAUUCACGCCAUUCAAAUGGCUGCACAAAGAGGUUGGCUUUCUAGUUGGAUUGAAUUGAAAGUGAUUCUACUUUAGUGAUUCAUUUUCUUUCUUCAUUUCAAGUUGAUGUACCUUGGCGUUUCACUACUGAAUGGUUUAACUGUCGAGCUAUUCUUGCUACUAUGACUAUUAAUUAAAGUAUCUCAUAUUUAUCAGGGGGAUAACAGUGUUGCGAACUGCUUAGCUAAUUUUGGUGCGGAUAAUGCGGGAGUUUAUUGGUGGGAUUCAUGUCCAUCUUGUGCAAUUACAGCUUAUUCACGUGAUUUAGCAAGUAUUCCCAACUAUCGUUUUAGUUUGUGAUCUUUUAUUGGUCUUUUAAUUUGUAACUCUUCUUCUUUUUUCCGGAAGGGGUCUUGGUCUAUGUCUUUUUCUUUUUUUUUCUUUUUUUAUGAGGGGAGGAAAUUACAAGGAGAAGCCUCUACAACAACCUAUACUAAAACGAUCAAAAUUAAAGGCAUUAAGUGUGGAGAGCGAGAGCUUGCGAUUCCAGAGAGUUGGAUUUGGGACUGAUGCCCCAAGCUAGCCAUUGCAUUGGUCACAAAAUUUGCUUCCCGAGAGACAUACUUGAAGGUGAUCUCUUCAAACUUGGAAGCCAUCCAGCCAACAUCACUAAAAAGAGUACGGAGUCUCCAAAGAGAAAGGGGGGGGGGACCUGUUGUUAAUAAGGUCAAUAAUAAGCUUAGAAUCACCCUCAACUUGGACACGCCGGAUGUCGUUGCAAAGCGCAUGGAACAGACUGUCUCGAAGAGUACUACAAUAUUCAGCAAUAAGAACAUUGGAGUUACCCACACAACGAGAGCCAGCUAAAAUUGGAUUGCCCUCAUGGUUUCUGAUUACAAACCCAGCAUCAGCCUUCUUGUUGUGGCAGACGGAACCAUCAAAGUUGAGCUUGACAAGAUUACAUGGAGGCGGGAGCCAUUUGAUGGAGGAACUUGCUGGAAUGGCAAAUCCAUUGGAGUUGGUCUUGUGGCCUCUAGUAGUCGGAUUAUGGCUUAUGUAAUCAUUACUAGAAGAAGCAACAACAUGCACAACAACAAAGUUGGGGUUGGGCGUGCAUCCUCUAAAAAUAUAAUUGUUUCAGGCCUCCCAUAAUUUCCAGCAAAGGAGAAUGCAGUUUUCAGCUGUUUCUUUAUCUUUUUCCUUCCUGAACAGGGAAAGAAACCAGUCAUAGAAAGAUGAAUAAUCAAAAGCAUUAGUACCAAUCAUAUUCCAAAUACUCAUAGCAAAAGGGCAGGAGAAGAAGAGGUGGUUUAAAUCCUCCUCCCCAUUGCUACAGAGAGUACAAGAAGAGCUAAUAGUGUUUGAGUAACGAGCUAAUCUAGCCCUUGUUUUCAGCGUCUCUCUAGCCAGGAGCCAAGCAAAAAUUUUUGCUCUGGGAGGGAUAUUCAACUUCCAGAUGGCGGUUUUGGUCUAUGUCCCCCACUCCUUUUCUGUACUCUUUUGUUUCUCUUUUUUCAAUAAAUAACUGAAACCGAGCGUAUGGCUGAGCCUCCCAACUUGGCUGGGAUCCAAACCCUUAAAAAAAAAAUACAAACACAAGGUACAGAAAUCCUUGGAGGCACAGCUUCUUCACCAGAUCAAGAUGACAGUAACUACAAUUUAAGCAGAUCGAACAGGAAACAUGUAGCCAUCUUUCAUGUAUGAAAGGUCCAAAUACUAAACUCUACUUGUGUCCCUCAGACUACAUUUAUUUAUCUUGCCGAAAUGUAAAAUUUGAAGUUUCAGUUUCUCAUGAGUUUCAUUGAGAUAAAUCCAUUGAUGUAGCUAGUCAUUCAUUCUCAGGAAACAACAAGCACCUGCUUUCCUACAUUGCGGCCAGCAAAGAGGCCAAGCAAAGCCGAUGGAGCAUUCUCCAGGCCUUCAACAACAUCUUCAACGUAUGCUUGCCUUCUUUUAUGUAAGGCAGAACGAAUUCGAGAAACUUGCCGUAGAUAGGAAAGUAUUUUGCAACCAGGCAGUUUUAUUUGAUGUCCAAGCAGAUCUUAGCAACUUUGCUUCCAAGCAGAGAAGCCAAGUCCAUUUCGGAUACACUUCAUUCCAGUUAUGGGCUCACGCUUCACCCGACGACGACGUUGGUGCUUACAUCAUCCACCUCUACUUACUUACGAGGCCCAACCCAACCUAACCCUACCCUACCAAACCCAGCCCAGCAUCCCCAGCUGUAUCUGAGGCAUUCACCAGCCAACUUACACAUGCCCAAUAUGCCCCAACAACAAAAACAAAAAGAACUUUGCAGCAGAACACAAGAGUUUGAUUCCAUUGUCUUAUGUUCUAUCAAUCUCCUAGUAUUAGUGGUAUUCUUCAUUUUCUUUUCAGCAACUACUGUGUUGGUUGCAUUAUGCGUUAUUCUUUUGGAAGUUUUUUAAUUGUUUUAAUUUUAUAUGUCUUAAAUCUUCCAUAUAACUAGAUCUACGUCUCUUACAAAAGUCGUUUUAUACCUACAAGAAUGUUGUCAUUUCAAAAACUGGAGGAUGCAUAAGUGCAUUCAUAUCUUCUUCUCAAUAUUAUAUCACACACUGCCUUUCUCUUCAUACUUGAUAAUAGUAUAAAACUAUUGUGAAAAUCAUGCUACAUUUAUUAGGAUGAGACAGCUCUCAGGAUGAGACAGCUCUCCUCAACACAAAAUGCAAUAUCCAAAGCAAGCUAACCAUAUACCUGAUACAAAGUUCAUUACAUACACCAAGGUGCACUGCAGAUGGGCUUAAACAACUUAACAUAAAAACAAAUGUCUCGGACUUCAGAAGUACAGAUGGAGCCGGAUUAGUAAUCACUCCCUGGAAACUACAACAACCUGCUUUCCCACGUUGCGGCCAGCAAAGAGCCCAAUUAGAGCUGCAGGAGCGUUCUCAAGGCCCUCAACUACAUCUUCCACAUAUGUAAUCUUCCCUUCUUUUAUGGCAGGCAACACUGUUUCAAGAAACUUUCCAUACAGAUGAUAGUAACUGAACACCAGGAAACCUUCCAUGCGGACCUGCUUAACAAUCAAAGACAUCAAAUUAUGUAUGCCUUCAGGCUUCUCCAAGUUGUACUGAGAUAUCAUCCCACACACUGCUAUUCGCCCUUUCAGCCUCAUGUUUGGUAGCACUGCAUCAAGCAUCUUUCCCCCCACAUUCUCAAAGUAAAUGUCAAUACCAUCAGGAAAAUACCUGCAGGUUAGCCAAAAACAACUGUAAACAAGAUGUAUAUUCCCAAAAUGAGGUACACAUGCGCAGCAUGAGACCAGACACUUUGUUUUCCCCUUGUGUUUCUAGAUUGAAUUCAGACUCUUAUUAAUGCCUGUGGAGGGUUUGUAUCUCCAAAUCCAAUAUUGGAAAAACUAACCAGUCUAGUGUCACUAUAAUUAGAAUAAACAAAGAUCCUAGACUAAGUCAAAGCAUUAAGCAUAUUUUGGAUUCCGACUGCUAAGAGAUAUAUUACAUUCUCACCUUCUUAAAGCUGCAUCCAGGUCAGGUUCGUCUUUAUAGUUGAAAGCCUCAUCAAAUCCGAAUUUGUUCUUCAGCAGAUCAACCUGAGAUCCCAGAAAUUGUAUAUCCCCAUAUUAACACAGUAGAUAAAGGGGUACGAAGUAUUUUGAAUAUCAGGAUAUUCAGAUAUAGAAUGACACCAUACAGGUCAUCAGGUUCACAGUUUAUGUAGUAUAUUACAGUAUUAUAGGCAUAUCAGAUGAGACGAAAAAAACAGUAGAACUGCUUUAGAUUGAGUGCAGCAGCUACAAGAAUAAGACUAAAUUGAUACUAACACUCUUCUAUUUGUAUGUAGGUAAUUGGUCACCAUAAUAGUACUUCCCAAUAAUGUCUCCAUCUUUGAAUUCCAAGAAUUUGGUACACAUCACUCGGAGACAAUUUUUAAAAGACAUCACUAUAGACAUACACAUUUAACAUAUAUAAUCAUACAAUUGAGUCAAAGAUAUGGAAUCCCAACUAAAACAUUCACUGAUCUACGAGUACCAGUAACUAACCUUUUCCUUGCUUCCAGCACUCCCAACAACAUAGCAACCUGUCAACUUUGCAAAUUGGCCAACAAGCUGACCUACUGCUCCAGAUGCGGCUGAAAUGUAGACAGUCUCUCCUUUCUUAGGAGAGCAAACCUCAAAAAACCCAGCAUAAGCAGUCAUUCCAGGCAUACCUACAUAACAUAUGAAUACGUCAGAUGAGCCCAAACAACCAGUAGACUCCAACAAGAGAUCUCAUGAGGGAACAAUAAACAAUAUGCACAAAAAAAAUAUUGACACAAGCUGUCAACUUGUGACUAUAGCAUGAAACUUUUAUGUUCUCUGCUCAUACAUGAAAAGGAGCUAAUACAACCAGCUGCACAAAAAACUAUUGCCCCAACUUAACUCAAGGGUUUGGCCCUCAAGAGCUGCAAGGUAACUAAUUGUGGCUAAUCAAAUUAGCACAUUAGACUAAAGACUACGGAGGUCUGUAAGUAACACAAACCAGUUUGUUAGUUACAAACAAGUAGAAAGCAAGAGAAGUAGGCAAUACCGAGAAGUCCAGUAUAGUAAGAGAGAGGCACAUCAGUGUGGUGAAUUUUAAACAGAGACUCUGUGGCAGUGAUGACACUAUAUUCUUCCCAGCCAGUAUGACCCCAAACCAAGUCGCCUGGCUUAAACUUUGGAUCCCCAGAUUCCAGGACUUUAGCCACUCCAUAACCAGUUACAGUCUGCAACAUGGAAUUCCAAAUUUUCUUUAGUUUGCUCUAUAUAUGCAAAUCUCUGAAUAAAGCACACACAUUUUUUUUUAUUCCAAAUUAUCUCAUGCAUUACAAUUUUAUAUCAUUGUCCUUAUAUCACCUGGCCCCCGAACCUGGAAUUAAAAAUCUCUCAUCCACAUGACCCAAAGAAGUGAAUUUACAGAAAAAAUGAUAAAUAAAAAGGGAUCUGCUAGAAGACACCUGGCCGGGGUUGAAGGAUUGGACAUAAGAGGGCCUCUCGUGUUUGGUCAUACGGCCGCGCAUGUAAGGAUCGCAGGACAAGUAUAGGUUCUUGACCACAAGGCCAGUCGACCCUUGUGGAAGCUUGAGUUUGGCUGUGGAUGUCCUCAAUUCCAUGUCGGAUUCUUUGGGGAACCCGGUGACAUAGUCUUUGAAUAUCACCUGCUUGUUACUCACUUCCACUCCGUCACUCGCCAUUUUCAGCUUCUCUCUUUUCUCUGUGUGUCUCUACAACCGUAACUGAAGAAGAUGAGGGCGAUACGAGCAAUAUAUGCCACGAAAUAUAGUAAUUACUGUAAUUUCUUACCUUACUAUGAUGUCAGAGCCCAGGUCUCUCUGGAAUUUUCCAUUUAGAAUCAAAAGAAACGGCUGGACAAUAAAUUUCUCAUUUUUGUCACGUUUGGUUUCUUCAAUGCGAAUAAUGACAGUAGCAAGGGCCGACGACGACGUCCCUGCUUACGCCAACAGUUCAUUGCCGUCCUCUUGCACUUUGUUGUUACCAUUUCUGGGGUACAAGUUUAAGUUUUUGACUUGUAAGGUACAGCCAUUUGGAGGCACAACUUCUUCACCAUAUAAAGAUGACAGUAACUAUAAUUUAAGCAGAUCCAACAAGAAACAUGUAGCCAUCUUUCAUGUAUGAAAGGUCCAAAUACUAGACUCUACUUGUGCAUCCCUCAGACUACAUUUAUUUAUCUUGCCGAAAUGUUAAAAAUGAAGUUUCAGUUUCUCAUGUAAAGUUUAGUUUCAGUUUCAUUGAGAUGAAUCCAUGGAUGUAGCUAGUCAUCCAUUCUCGGGAAACAACAACCACCUGCUUUCCUACAUUGUGGCCAGCAAAGAGGCCAAGCAGAGCCGAUGGAGCAUUCUCCAGGCCUUCAACAACAUCUUCAACGUAUGCAACCUUGCCUUCUUUUAUGUAAGGCAGAACAAAUUCGAGAAACUUGCCGUAGACAGGAAAGUAUUUUGCAACCAGGAAGCCUUCCAUGCGCAGCUGUUUAGACACCACUCACACCAGAUACAUUAAAUUAUGCACACCUUCAGGUUGCACCAGGUUGUACUGUGAGAUCAUCCCACAAACUGAGAUUCGCCCUCCAAUCUUCAUGUUCGGUAGCACUGCAUCGAGCAUCUUUCCCCCAACAUUUUCAAAGUACCUGGUAUUUAUGAAAUAUAAACAAAAUUGAACAUUUAUGAGACUGUAUAUGCAUGUAAAGGCCAAAACAUAACGGAAAAUACUGUAUGUGGGAACAUUACAACAAAGACAUGAGGUCUUUACCUACGCAGAAAGUCCCACCUCAACUCUAUUAUAUGUGACCUUUCAAUUUCUUAAGUUUCUUGUAUUUGCUCUCUGUUUCAAGAGACUGGGAUGUUUUUACUGAUUUCUGAUUACUUUCUACUAUUCAAGGAAGGGAGGGGACAUACAUGUUGAAAUACUUCUUCUUUCUUUGAAGUAAGGGCGCUUGUAGUUAGUGCUAUCAAUGGAUUCUGAUAAUAAACCAUAUACUACUAACCUUUUCAAAACUGCGUCCAAGUUAGUUUCUUCUUUAUAAUUGAAGGCUUCGUCAAAGCCAAACUUGUUCUUCAGCAAAUCAACCUUAACACAAAAAUGGCAGGCAUUAUAUUAGAAAGGCAACAGGAAACAAAACAAGUCAAUUCAAAUAAUACAAUUCCCAUGACUAACAACGUCACAGGAUGCAGCUUUCUGUGCAUUAAACAGUGUGUGCGCUACAAUUCCAAAGGGCAUAAGAAUUCUUCCAUCAUAGAAGGUAGCAAAACCACAGGAACUACUUCUGUCAGUGCCGCAUGUUAAAAAAUAAAACAAAACAAAUACAUCUAAACUAAACAAGUCAAUAUGUUUUAUCACGAGGAUAAUGUAUACUGAUGAUGACUAAUAUUUGUACUUAAGCACAACCGAUUCAGUACUGGGCAAACAGUACAUAAUAUGUGUUUACAUACAACUGGGUCGCAUCCCCGGAAUCUAACUAAAACAACAUUGAUAUCUUUUCUAAGAAAAAGAAUUGAUAUUGAUCAUUGCUACCUUGUCUUGGCUUCCAGCACUCCCUACAACAUAGCACCCGGUCAACUUGGCAAAUUGGCCAACAAGCUGACCGACCGCUCCUGAUGCUCUGCUGAAACAUAGACUGUCUCUCCUUUCUUAGGAGAGCAGAUCUCGUAGAAGCCAGCAUAGGCAGUCAUACCAGGCAUACCUACAUAACGCAUGUCAUGAGUCUUGAGUGCAUUAAGCAGGAGUAGUGCAGGACAUACAUUGUGCAUUACAGGAUUGAAAAUGAAAGAUCAAAAGUUGUUGGAUUAAUUACGAUGGAUUUCUCCAACUCAUUUAAGUAGAGAACAAUGCUAAAAGCCAGAAAAGUUACUGCAUGACCAGUGUGUUCAAGAUCAUUUGAUGCUGAAUAAGUUUCUUUACUGCCACACUACAAAACUAAAUAUGAAAAGCAAUGUGGAAUGUGGAUUGUGGAACACCAGUUUUGGAAGAAAAAAGAAUAUGAGAAUUAACAAAAGCCGUCAAGUGUAAAUGUCUUUGUUAAAACUAAUAAGGAUUCGGCACAAGAUAGACUAGUCUCACCGUUCAACAUCUAUAAGAAGAAGCCAAUACAAUCAUUGACAGACAAAGAUAAUGCACAAUUUUUAGUUUCAAGCAGAACCAAUUUUUCAGAAGAAGAAUUAAUAAGGGUCAAGGGAGGGCAUAUAUACCAAGAAUUCCAGUAUAGUAAGAGAGAGGCACAUCGGUGGUGGGAAUCUUAAACAACGCCUGAACGGAAGUGAUAAGACUAUACUCUUCCCAGCCAGUCAUUCCCCAAAUCAAUUCGCCUUGCUUAAACAUUGCAUCACCAGAUUCCAAAACUUUAGCCAUAGGCUGCAUAUGUUUCAUACUAAAUAAGAAAACGAUUUCCAAUAUAUUGUAAAUAUAUGACUUAAUUGAAUUGGGUAAUUCUCAAAACAAAGCAGGGUUCUUUUUACUGUUUUCAUUGGAUGGGUGGGUCUUAACAUAUCAUAGCAGCAAGGAAGACAAGUUCUUUAAAACCCAACAAGCUUAAAGGUUUCAAAUUUGAAUUGAAAAGACAAUAUAUGACCUGGCCGGGGUUGAAGCGAUCGACAUAAGAAGCAGAGUUGCGCUUAGUCAUGCGGCUUCUCAUGUAAGGAUCGCAGGACAAGUAGAGGUUCUUCACCAGAACCCCGGUGGAGCCUUCUGGAAGCUUCAGUUUGGUGGUGGUACUGACGACGGCCAUGUCUGAUUCCUUUUGGGAAUCCGGCCGACACGUACUCCUUCAAUAUCACCUGCGUGUUCUUGACUUCCGCCAUUGCUCUCCAAAUGCAAAUGUGAAUGUGCCUGUGACUCUGUGUAGCUACAACACUAUUUAUUCAACCAAUCAAUCAAUGAAUGCGGUCCAACGCGAAAUGGCCAGUUGAUUUCUUCUGUUUAAGGAGUCUAUAGCUCUCAGUUCCUUUUUCUGUGUUUCAUAGCAAGACACGUAUGUUAAAAUUGAAGCCGUUUCUCACUUUUGCUUUCCUUCUAUCAGUUCGGUGCCAAACCACGGGAAUUCGUUUCCAUAUAAAAAAAGUCUCUCUUUUUUAUGAGAUUUGAGGGUUUGAUGAGGCUAACCAAUCUUCAUAACAGUGAUCGGUGGUGUGUGUAUACGUUAUCUUCGAAUUCUCCAAGUUAUUGUCUGCUACUUCCAUUUUGAAAUUGAUGCAUAAUUAGUAAUUGGACUGAAAAUGGCACAAAUUGUUUCCAACAUCCAAUUGUGUAUGGAAACAACAAAGUCAUGUAUAUCCAUAUGACCAUAUCAGAAUCAUUCGGUACACAAUGGCACAGGUACAAUAUAGUAAUCGGUUGCAACACAAUCUUUAUUCUCUCAACAUAGUACACAUGCAAUACAAAUUAUGCAAUAUAUGCUUCCCAGUAAAUAUCGAUCGACAAAGUAAUUUUAUUACUAGCUAGCAAGGAUGUGGAUUGAUGAAGGAAGCUCGUCGAUCUGGAUGUAUUAAGUUUGAGGUGGUGCAACUGCAACUACUUGCUUCCCAAAGUUGCGACCAGUAAAGAGUCCAACCAGUGCUGCUGGACCAUUCUCAAUCCCUUCAACAAUGUCUUCCACGUACACUAUUUUACCUUCCCGGAUGUAAGGCAGCACAAACUCAUAGUACUUGGGCACAAUGUGAUUAUAAUCGCGAUGCGUAAAUCCAUGUAUGUUGAGCCUCUUGAAUCCAAUCUGGAGCAAGUUUUUAAGUGGCUCAAACUCUGGAAGGUUGUAUUGUGAGAUCAUUCCACACACAGCAAUGCGACCGUGAUCUUUCAUGUUGAGCAGCACUGCGUCAAGCAAUUUCCCACCCACAUGCUCAAAGUAGACGUCAAUUCCUUCAGGGAAGUACCUUCAUAUAUUCCACGUACAGUUGAUUAUAUUAGUUCAACCAAGAGCAAUGUGCAUAUAUAUACGUACAGAUUGACUAGUCUGUAAUCUGUAUGCACAUAUACCGAUAUACGUAUAAUGUUAUUGUAUGUGCUUAAUGAAUCGAAUUACCUUUUUAAAGCGGCAUCUAAAUCAUUUUCCUCCUUGUAAUUGAAAGCCUCGUCAAACCCCAACUUGUUCUUUAGUAGAUCGACCUAACCGAUUCAAGAAUUAGUACUGAUCGAUCAUUAAUAUAUAGAGACCGGCAAUUAGUAAUACAAUGUAUGAGUUAACAACUUGUGGACUAGCUAGCUAGCAAGGUACCUUUUGUUUAGAUCCGGCCGAUCCAACAACAUAACAGCCAGCCAACUUGGCGAACUGUCCGAUGAGCUGACCAACUGCACCAGAUGCUGCAGAGACCAACACCUUGUCUCCUUUCUUAGGAGGACACACUUGAGAGAAUCCAGCAUAAGCAGUCUUACCAGCCAUGCCUGCAUGUAGAAUGGAUCGAGGUUGAUCAUAAUUAAUGACUUUCAAUUGAGCAAUGAGAUUAGCCAGUUUACUUACCAAGAAGUCCGGUAUAGUAAGAAAGAGGGACAUCAGUGUGGUGUAUUUUAACGAGUGAGGUUUCAGAGACGACGUCUGUGAUGAGGCUGUACUCUUCCCAUGUGGUUAACCCCCACACCAGAUCACCCUGUUUAUACUCUGGAUGACUCGAGUCCACAACUUGAGACACACCGUACCCACGUAUUGGCUGCAUCAAUUCAUAGAUACACAUAUAUGGUAAAGUGAUCGAUCAUGAUGAACUACCUACGUGCACUUGAUAUAUAUAGAUGCAAUAUUUGUAUUUGCAAAUUAGACUUACAGAUCCAGGAGUGCAAUAGAGGUAUUUGUUCAUUUUCUGCUGAGAGUUCAUGAUGAGGAACCGCAUCAUGGGAUCGCAGGACAAGUAGAGGUUCUUGAGUAGAACAGCAUUGGCGGUGUCUGCUGGAACCUUGAGACUUACUGUGCUAUCAGUGGUGACAUACAUGUCCGACACUUUGGGAAAACCAGACACAUAGUCCUUCAAUAUCACCCGCUUGUUCCUCGCUACUACUUCACCUGCCAUUGCUAGCUAGCAAGCUAAGCUAUUAACAAUCAACUUCCUUUCGUUUCUGGGUACGUACGUAAGAAAUUAAAGUACUUAGCAGUAUUGUAGUAAUACCAUUACCAACCCUGUAGCAAGGUCGAUGUUAUAUUUAUAGCAUAUCGGUGAAUAAAUCCCAGUGACUAGUCCAAUAUAUAUGAAAUUCGAUUUUGAUUCAAACUUUGUCUCAUGACUUUUCUUGUGAGGAUUAGCUAGAGGAUUUCGCGCCAUCUAUACUCAAGCUAGCUGGAAGACGUAAUUGCUUACAUGAUCGAUUGAGAGGAACAGAUAC